RNAcentral lists this ribosomal RNA (433 nucleotides) under uncultured bacterium. Its description in RNAcentral is "partial 16S ribosomal RNA". It matches the Rfam family "Bacterial small subunit ribosomal RNA", at positions 29 to 507 of the family's 1533-position model. The record is from RNAcentral.
AGCGAACGCUGGCGGCAUGCCUAACACAUGCAAGUCGAACGAGACCUUCGGGUUUAGUGGCGCACGGGUGCGUAACGCGUGGGAACCUGCCCUUAGGUUCGGAAUAACUCCCCGAAAGGGGUGCUAAUACCGGAUAAUGUCUUCGGACCAAAGAUUUAUCGCCUUUGGAUGGGCCCGCGUUGGAUUAGCUAGUUGGUAGGGUAAAAGCCUACCAAGGCGACGAUCCAUAGCUGGUCUGAGAGGAUGAUCAGCCACACUGGGACUGAGACACGGCCCAGACUCCUACGGGAGGCAGCAGUGGGGAAUAUUGGACAAUGGGCGAAAGCCUGAUCCAGCAAUGCCGCGUGAGUGAUGAAGGCCUUAGGGUUGUAAAGCUCUUUUACCCGGGAUGAUAAUGACAGUACCGGGAGAAUAAGCUCCGGCUAACUCCGUG